RNAcentral lists this ribosomal RNA (500 nucleotides) under uncultured bacterium. Its description in RNAcentral is "partial 16S ribosomal RNA". It matches the Rfam family "Bacterial small subunit ribosomal RNA", at positions 30 to 523 of the family's 1533-position model. The record is from RNAcentral.
AUUGAACGCUGGCGGCAUGCCUUACACAUGCAAGUCGAACGGCAGCACGGACUUCGGUCUGGUGGCGAGUGGCGAACGGGUGAGCAAUGUAUCGGAACGUACCUUUCAGUGGGGGAUAACUAUCCGAAAGGAUAGCUAAUACCGCAUAUUCUGUGAGCAGGAAGGCAGGGGAUCGCAAGACCUUGCGCUGAUUGAGCGGCCGAUAUCAGAUUAGCUAGUUGGUGGGGUAAAGGCCUACCAAGGCUACGAUCUGUAGCGGGUCUGAGAGGAUGAUCCGCCACACUGGAACUGGGACACGGCCCAGACUCCUACGGGAGGCAGCAGUGGGGAAUUUCGGACAAUGGGGGCAACCCUGAUCCAGCCAUGCCGCGUGAGUGAAGAAGGCCUUCGGGUUGUAAAGCUCUUUCGUCCGGGAAGAAAUCGCAUCAGCUAAUACCUGGUGUGGAUGACGGUACCGGAAUAAGAAGCACCGGCUAACUACGUGCCAGCAGCCGCCGUAA